UUAUCGGAGAGUUUGAUCCUGGCUCAGGACGAACGCUGGCGGCGUGCCUAAUACAUGCAAGUCGAGCGGACAGAUGGGAGCUUGCUCCCUGAUGUUAGCGGCGGACGGGUGAGUAACACGUGGGUAACCUGCCUGUAAGACUGGGAUAACUCCGGGAAACCGGGGCUAAUACCGGAUGCUUGUUUGAACCGCAUGGUUCAAACAGAAAAGGUGGCUUCGGCUACCACUUACAGAUGGACCCGCGGCGCAGUAGCUAGUUGGUGAGGUCCUGG
Molecule: ribosomal RNA, 272 nt
Filed under: Bacillus spizizenii
Lineage: Bacteria; Bacillati; Bacillota; Bacilli; Caryophanales; Bacillaceae
Description: partial 16S ribosomal RNA
Rfam family: Bacterial small subunit ribosomal RNA
Source: RNAcentral